GAUUCUAAACACAUGUCACGUUGGAGACAUAUACCAAAGAUGGGACUAGAAGAAGAAGAAGAAGAAGAAGGCUUGGGAGGUUUUACUUCUUCUUCUUUUUUAAUUUUUACUUUUUCUUUUUUUUGAUCUUUCUUUGAUUUUUCUUUUUUUGAAGAAUUAGAAGAUGAUGAUGACGAUGAGGAAGAU
RNAcentral lists this non-coding RNA (186 nucleotides) under Ditylum brightwellii. Lineage: Eukaryota; Bacillariophyta; Thalassiosirophyceae; Lithodesmiales; Lithodesmiaceae. The record is from RNAcentral.